CGGCGAGUGAACAGGGAAAAGCCCAGCACCGAAGCCUGUGGCCGUUUGGUUACUAGGCAAUGUGGUGUUUAGGUCGUUCCGCAGAGGCUCUGCUCCACCCUAAGUCCAGCAAUGAGUACGGUAGUACGGACAUGGCCCACAGAGGGUGAAAGGCCCGUGGGGGUGGAGAUUCGGCAGGCCAGAGCCUCUCUGGGUAGACCUUGGAGUCGGGUUGUUUGUGAAUGCAGCCCAAAGUGGGUGGUAAACUCCAUCCAAGGCUAAAUACUAGCACGAGUCCGAUAGCGAACAAGUACCGUGAGGGAAAGUUGAAAAGUACUUUGAAGAGAGAGUAAACAGUGCGUGAAACCGCUCAGAGGUAAACGGGUGGAGUUGAACUGCAAGCUCUGAGAAUUCAGCUGAUGAGUGUGGUUUGAGCUUGGUCAAAUUGGUUGGACUUCGGGGUCUGCGUAGUAGCAGGUCUCUGCCCUCGGGUGGAGAUGCGCGAUGCACUUGUCAAGUGUUGUGCGCUCCGUAUGUUCUCCGGCCUGCUCGUCAGUGCACUUUCUCGGAGUAGUCACCACGACCGGCACUGCUGUCAGGCUGCUCUGGUUAAACCGUUCUUGCAUAGUCCUUUGUGGCUUUGCUUGAUCGGGAUGGCAGGUAGCUCGUUGACUUGUUUGUGGCUUGCUGCAAACGUUCGGUCUUCGAGUGUAAUCAGCUGACCUUAGUAGUACUGUGCAGUGUGUCGGAGACGGCGGCUUGUGGUGUGUGCAUGCGUGCCUAUCCUGCUGACCUGUCCGGGUUUGGUUGUUAUGUUGCCUGUUCAAGCAGGCCUGAUGAUAGCUCGGAUUUGUUCUGUGGGUGGUUGCGUGUGUGGCACUAUUCCAAGGGCCAACAGUCUGUGGUGUAGUGGUAGACGAUCCACCUGACCCGUCUUGAAACACGGACCAAGGAGAGUAACAUGUACGCGAGUCAUUGGGCGUUACGAAACCCAAAGGCGCAGUGAAAGUGAAGGUCUGACUCGUUCAGACUGAGGUGAGAUCCUGUCGUUUCUCACGCGCGGUACUACCAAGCAUCGAGCGGCAGGCGCAUCACCGGCCCGUCCCAUGGCAAUUGUUUUCGGACAGUUUUCGGUCGGGGCGGAGCAUGAGCGUACAUGUUGAGACCCGAAAGAUGGUGAACUAUGCUUGCGCAGGUUGAAGCCAGAGGAAACUCUGGUGGAGGACCGCAGCGAUUCUGACGUGCAAAUCGAUCGUCAAACGUGAGUAUAGGGGCG
RNAcentral lists this ribosomal RNA (1255 nucleotides) under Neoglyphe locellus. Its description in RNAcentral is "eukaryotic LSU rRNA". It matches the Rfam family "Eukaryotic large subunit ribosomal RNA", at positions 87 to 925 of the family's 3401-position model. Lineage: Eukaryota; Metazoa; Platyhelminthes; Trematoda; Plagiorchiida; Omphalometridae. The record is from RNAcentral.